GUUAAAAAGCUCGUAGUUGGAUUUCUGUUGAGGAUGACCGGUCCGCUCUUUGAGCGCGUAUCUGGUUCAGCCUUGGCAUCCUCUUGGGGAACGCUACUGUGCUUGAUUGCAUGGGGCGGUAUUCAAGACUUUUACUUUGAGGAAAUUAGAGUGUUCACUGCAAGCGUUAGCAAUUGAAUACAUUAGCAUGGAAUAAUAAUAUAGGACCUUGGUACUAUUUUGUUGGUUUCUAGAACUAAGGUAAUGAUUAAUAGGGACAAUUGGGGGCAUUCGUAUUAACGCGUCAGAGGUGGAAUUCUUAGAUUGCGUUACGACGAACUACUGCGAAAGCAUUUGCCAAGGAUGUUUUCAUUGAUCAAGAACGAAAGUAUGGGGAUCGAAGACGCUUAGAUACCGUCGUAGUCUAUACCAUAAACUAUGCCAACUAGAGAUUGGAGGUCGUUCUCUUUAUGACUCCUUCAGCACCUUAUGAGAAAUCAAAGUCUUUGGGUUCCGGGGGGAGUAUGGUCGCAAGGCUGAAACUUAAAGGAAUUGACGGAAGGGCACCACCAGGAGUGGAGCCUGCGGCUUAAAUUUGACUCAACACGGGAAAACUUACCAGGUCCAGACAUAGUAAGGAUUG
RNAcentral lists this ribosomal RNA (622 nucleotides) under uncultured marine eukaryote. RNAcentral describes it as "SSU rRNA". It matches the Rfam family "Eukaryotic small subunit ribosomal RNA", at positions 618 to 1242 of the family's 1831-position model. The record is from RNAcentral.